Molecule: ribosomal RNA, 271 nt
Filed under: Gammarus balcanicus
Lineage: Eukaryota; Metazoa; Arthropoda; Malacostraca; Amphipoda; Gammaridae
Description: partial 16S ribosomal RNA
Source: RNAcentral
CUAAGGUAGCAUAAUCAUUUGUUAUUUAAUUGAUAACUGGAAUGAAAGGUUAAACUAGCUUAUUAGGUUUGUAAAACUAUACAAGAAGUUAAAGUUAAGGUAAGAAUUCUUUAAUUUUCUAGGGGACGAUAAGACCCUAGAAGCUUGACGAAUUGGGUGGUUUGUUUUAGAAAGUUAUUCGUUUUACUGGGGCGGUAAAAAUAAGUAAGCUAUUGUAUAUUUAAAGGAUCCUUAAAAUAAAGAAAAAAUGGAGAAGUUACUCUAGGGAUAA